GACAGAAUUGUGGCAAGGCACAGAUCUGGCCAAGGUUACAAAACAGUUUCUGCUGCACUUAAGGUUCCUAAGAGCACAGUGGCCUCCAUAAUCCUCAAAUGGAAGAAGUUUGGGACGACCAGAACUCUUCCUAGACCUGGCGAAGAGUGGAGAAAACCAGGCACUGCUCAUCACCUGCCCAAUACAAUCCCAGCAGUGAAACAUGGUGGUGGUGGCAGCAUCAUGCUACAGGGGUGUUUUUCAGCUGCAGGGACAAGACGACCGGUUGCAAUUGAAGGAAAGAUGAAUGCGGCCAAGUACAGAGAUAUCCUGGAAGAAAACCUCAUCCAGAGUGCUCUGGACCUCAGACUGGGCCGAAGGUUCACCUUCCAACAAGACAAUGACCCUAAGCACACAGAAAAAAUAACAAAGGAGUGGCUUCGGAACAACUCUGUGACCAUUCUUAACUGGUCCAGCCAGAGCCCUGACUUAAACCCAAUUGAGCAUCUCUGGAGAGACCUGAAAAUGGCUGUCCACCAACGUUUACCAUCCAACCUGACGGAACUGGAGAGGAUCUGCAAGGAAGAAUGGCAGAGGAUCCCCAAAUGCAGGUUUGAAGAGAGCAUAGAUGAAGACCAAGACCACAGUGAGGAAGCAGGACACAGCCACUGCAGCUACCACCAGCCAUGUAAAUGUGGGGUCUGCGAAGGGAGAGGCAGAGCGCCCGCCCAUCAAGGUAUGAUGACUCCACUGAUUGGCCAUUGACCAGCCAAGUGACCACAGUGGAACCUGCUAUUUGACAUUCAGUAAGCACGUUGCAAAACAACUCCAGUCCUGAACCUAAAUGAAGUCAGAGCCACUCAUCAAGGCCGUGAUGCACAAACUGGGUACUACUGCGCACACAGACCUCAGACGACGACAGCAUUGGGGUCCAAAGAGCUUUUCUGUUCAAGUUGUCACUUCAGGUAUUUCAGGAGGCGACAAAUGCGUGACUUGACCAGUUAUCGCUGCGUGGCAGGCGGCCCCGAAGCUCCGAUGCAGCAAGGCUACAGCUCCAGAGGAAUGAGGAACUUGAGUCUCUGGGCUCUCUUGUGCAUGAAGACGCCAUCCAAAUGGCCGGUCUCCACCGAGCGGAUCUCUAUGGCCUUCUCUCCCCAGCCCAUGAUCUGGUUGGAACGAAUUCAGGUCGACCAGCAGGGGCUUGUGCACCAGGUCACCAAAAGACUGAAGCACACAGUGUUUUUGCAACAUUUCUGGAAGUGGGCCAAAAGUCAAGUUGGGACAAAACAACCUACAAAGGAACAGUGUGUGCAAAUAUAUGCAGACAGAAAAAAGGCCAGCAGUUCCUCUUUUCACUAUGUGCAUCGUUCCAAAUUUUAGUUUUAAUGUAUGAUACAGAAAUAAAGCAAUACUUUUCAGUCACAAGUACAGUCAGUACAUUCACACCAGUCCAUUCAUAUCAUGCCACAUUAUGAAGGCUGAAGACUUUAGUUUCUACCUCCUAACUGUUUCAUUAAGUAGACCAAUACACAUAUUGUACAACUGACAAAUGGUUUUGUGUUGGAGUAAGUGGUUGCUAUUUUUAAAAGCUGUUGGUGAUUAAUUUGUAAAAGGUACUUGCUGGUGAAUACUGGUCCAAGUCAAGCACUCAGUUUCAUCUGAAAGUUUAAUCUUAAGUGCUCAGUUAUCCUGUCUGUGAAUGUGUGUUACUAAACCCCAAAAGGUAACAAUUGACAUCUUGGUUACCUGCUUCUGCUCAAACAUUUGUAGAAAUGUUCUACAUGGCUCUUCAGUCCCAAAUCACAUACACACUGACAAUGAAACACACACUGAACUAUUGAUAAUAUAAGUAGUGUCUUUUUACAACAAAGUGCACAGUUUAGUUUCUACCUCUUAACUCAAUUAACUAACUUAAACAAGUCUGUGACAGUUUAGUUUCUACCUCCUAACAUAUGCCACAGCAUUCAAGGCAUUUUUUGCAGCUGUUUCUCACAGGCCGCCCCUGCUGCACUGCGGACCACAUCAACUAAUGUCAUAAGAAGUCAUGGAUGUGGAUGCACUUGACACUGAUGGCCAUUCGUUUAGUGUGUGAGGCUUUUGUUUCUUGUCGUCUCCUAGUAAUCUGAUCAUAAACAUGAGAUGCGAGGAAGCGGCCUGAAUGGCCAUCCAGAUUUUGUGUCAGCCUCUCAAACACUGGGGUGAUCGAAUUUUCCAUUACGCAUAUUUUUAAAUGAAAGCCACACAAACAUUUCAUGGAAGGAAAUCGACGUGUAUUGUGACGUUUCCUUCCAUCAUGGAAAGCUCAAGUGUGUGUCAGCGUUACAUAUCGAACACACAUGGCGUGCUCUCACAAAGCUGAAAUUUACACAACAUCCGUUUGGCUCAAAAUAUCUGUUGUGACACUUAUGACUGCACUGUCUGUGUGUGCAUAAUUGAGAAAGAGAAGUACGAACCUGGAUACACUUUCAAUCUGAGAAAUCUUGGAAUUGUGGAACCGUGUGUCUGUGUAUAAAAAUGUUUAUGCAACAAUAGACAGACACAAUUUGUCUGGAAUAUGUCAGACGUAGCAGGUUUAAGUGUGUAUUUGCAGGUGCGUGUGGGCGUGUGCACAGCAAUGACAAGAAGUAAACCAAGCAAAACACUCACAAACACAUACACAAAUACUUUGGCUAUUUGAGUUGACAGCAGAAUAAACAAAAGUGAAACAGUUCGUUAGUCUCAUAAUUAACUUAGAGGACAUUAUUUAUAUUUGAUGCGCAUGUUUGUGCACGCAUGAUGCUCUCUGUGUGGAUUUUCAUUAUUGUAAUGGGGUUUGUGUGUACAAGAAUGUUUCAGUCCUUCUCACUGAUCAAGUAUUCAUCUCAGUGGGAGUAAUUUGGCUGCAUAAAUUGUAAUAAAACUACCUUUAAAAUGUGUGUGCAUGCUCUUGUGCCCUAGCUGAGUGCUUGUGUGUUUGUGUAUGUACCUGAUAUAGUGACAAGGACGUUGAGUCCCUCCAGGACGUCCAUCUGCUGGAAGCGCCGUCUGUUGAUCAGAGGGUAAACUUUCCCCUGACCACUGCGAUCCAACAGCAUUAGACCGCUCUCUGUUCCCACUAACAGGUUCACUCCUACACACACACACAGUCAGGAGAAGACCAACAACACUGACCAAAUAAGUUAUGCAGUCUGGUCAGACAGAUAACUUUACUUUGGCUUUGCUGCCACCAGGUGUUUUGUUUUAGAAAACCAGACAAAACCAGACAAGCUUUCUGAAUAUAUAAUUGUACAUUAUGUACACAGUACAUAAGGAAUGUUGCAGCAUUAAAUAAAUAACCACUUGGAUGGUGAUAUGAAAGCAAAGAGGGUGAUUUCUGUUGCUGAUGUGUGUCUGACUGCAUUAUAAUAUCGCCAAUGUCAAAUUAACGGUUUGGUUAAGUAAGUCUUAAACCAAUAAGACAGGUGACCUAUAUUUACUUUUAAAUGUUAUUGCUAUUGUGUUUCUCAAAAUUAAAACACGUUUCUCAUUA
Micropterus dolomieu (smallmouth bass) is the source of this 3487-nucleotide long non-coding RNA. RefSeq lists it as uncharacterized. The record is from RefSeq and is a predicted model, not a curated record. The transcript is spliced from 8 exons. NCBI's taxonomy places the organism in Eukaryota, Metazoa, Chordata, Actinopteri, Centrarchiformes, Centrarchidae.